Long non-coding RNA from Galleria mellonella (greater wax moth), 3448 nucleotides. RefSeq lists it as uncharacterized. Lineage: Eukaryota; Metazoa; Arthropoda; Insecta; Lepidoptera; Pyralidae. The record is from RefSeq and is a predicted model, not a curated record. The transcript is spliced from 5 exons.
ACACGCACGCACGCACGCACACACACACACACAUACGCACAAAAUCAUAAUGCCGUUGAAUUGAUAGAUAACUUUCUCCUUUUUGAAGUUGAUUGUAUGUUCCAAAUAAAUUGACAUUAAAUAUGUACGUCAUUAUUAUACACGGUGUGCCUAACGAUUGAAAACCGUCCGAAGGUAAACCUGCGAGCGAGCUUAUAAACAUCACACGCUGUGCAUACGUGAUGCACAAUAACUAUUCAUGUUUGUUAGUUUAUGUACACUGCUGUGCAUAUGGGAGAGCAGAAUCACAGACAUUAUCAAUACUCAUACUAUAUUAUAUUACUAAAAAUGGCAAACAAGCUGACAGCCCACCUGACGGAAAGCCGUAACCGUCGCCUAUAGACAUGAGCAGUACCAUGGAUAUAACAAAGUAUACUGUUUCACCCAUGAUACUUCCCACGCGUUGUCAUUCCCGAAGACUAAAGUGUUAUGUUUUUAUACCAUGUAAAUUCACUGGCAUAGCCCACUCCUCAAACCGAAACACAGCCAUGCAAACACAACUGCUUUACGAUUGAAACACGAAUGAGACAGAGGUAUCCAAGCAAACAAGUUUUGUAUAAAGUCUCCUUAUGUUAUAUGCAAUGAAUGUAUUUAUAGGCAAUGAAGUGUUUAAAGACGCGGAGGUGCUCAGGUUCUGUUCAAUUCUGCCGAGAGACUUGGCUGGUCAUCGCUCAGCAUUUCAUUUGUAUGUACGGAUCAUGGAGGAUGACGGGCGGUAAUGCGAUAACGCGCCACAGUAGGUAUAUUGACAAUACAAUAUCGUGGAACGUAGCAGCGGCCGCUUUAUCCUUCGUGAGCGGCUCCGCGCGCGGCGUCUUUGCCCGCUGUUAUUGGAUUUCCACGACACCACUCGUUCAUACGAGAAUACAGUCUAAUAGGAUCACAGCCCUCGCGCCUUGCACGGUUUCCUUCUCUCGUAGCGUAUAUAGUAUAGUAGCUGUUAUAGUAUCGCACGUAUUACUAAAGUAAUUGAGACGAUUAUUUAUUUGUUAUUCAAACUGUUCGGUGUCUAUGUACAAUCACUUCCGGGGGUGUCGCUGUUACAUCGCGGAAGCUGCGGAUGUUCCUCCCGCCGCGCCCCGCGCCCCGCGCCCCCGCGCCCCCGCGCCCUGCGGCCCACGGCCCCGGCCCGGUGCCCCACAGCCGCAGAGUAGUGCGCGCCCUGCCCGCGACCCGCCCCUGACCUACAUCUCAGCGCGCGGCGCGUGCGUUACGUACGUACAGAGGUGUGGGCACAGCACGGCUCGAGCUCGCCGUCUGCUGAGCACCGCCGGCACCGGCACCGCCACCGCGCAGGCCGUCGCCGAAGUCUCCGUAGCUGCACCUACACACACAGCCACCAGUGGUCAAUUGCUAUAGCGGCAACUCACAGAUUCAUUGCCUUAUUAUUAGUUCCAUCCUCGUGCCUGCUGCCUGCUGCCUGCUGCCUGCUGCCUGCUGCGCGGUGUGCACGUCUCUAUCAUCGUAGCGCCGCGCCGCAUAGCACGGCCGCUCAGCGCACGCAGGUCACGCACUAGGAGGAAAGAAUCCUACCCAUGCAUAAUCUUGGUAAUCGGAUACAUGUCACAGUUGCGUGGCGACAAGGUAUUCGAAUAGUUGGCGCUCUGUUCCACGGGCGGUCGGCGCUGAGAGAAUACAUCGCGGUGGAGGAAGGCGGCCGCCGGCGGUCCACGACGCAGGUUGACAAGUAGGUAUCAGAGAGAGAAUUCUAUAUAAAGAGAUAAGAAUAAUCGAUGUUGUGAGAAAAGCGGAUACAUGGCUUAAUGAGAAGUGGGAAGGUAUUAAGAAUAGGUAUAGCAACGUGACAGGAGAGGAGGGAGCGAGCGCCGGCGACGAGUGAUAGAUGGGUGGACGUACUCGCGUACCAUCUCGCGAGUAACAUACAAGAUAAGCGCCGCCGUAAACCGGUGUGCGACGAAGCGCUACAAAGCGUUUUAUGCACGAAGAAGCGCAGCCAGGGCACGCCAGUCGCAAACAAAGGCGGCCAAGCGCCCCCCACACCUACACCUACACCUACCUACUCUACUUGUAUAGCCACACUUCAAUUAACUUCUCGUGUUAUAUCUACUCGGCAAUAAACUACACUAACUAUAUUGUUUGUUGCAUUUUUAUAUUGCAAUAUUUUCUAUUUGACUGAUUAUCAAUUACCUAUUUGUCUUAUUUCUUUAAGUCUUUAGAGAAUUAAUUACUUAUUGCAAAAUAUGUUUCGAAAUAUAUUUUAUAGUUGAUUUUAUAGGCUGAGUUUUUUUUAAUGGGUGACAAUGGAAUGAUAACCCCGCCUGCGAUAUCGGUAUACACUGAUGUGGCACCAGUGAGAGAUGAUAAGGUGAGGAUGAAGCAGGUUAUUUAUCAUCGUAAAGAAUUCAACAAGAAUUUAUCACGACAGUUUCCAGGGGAAACCACCUGAUAGGGUAUAUUGCUAGCAAUGAGGCUGUUAAACCCCAUUACUAACAAUUCCUUUCCCCCAGGCUGAGAGUCAGGACCAUCAAGAAUGCUCCUCCCAAUGAAUGAAUCCCAAAAUUUCCUAUUUGAUAGAUUGACCGAAUGUUACACUUAGAAACAUUACAUUACCAAUAAUUACGAACUAGAACCACACGAGCAAAGAAAGCGAGCACUCGAUGACCACACAUUGGGGAGGCAGACUUUGACGGCGAGCUCCUUCAACACUCUGCUCGAGAUUUCUAACGUUUUGCUCUGGCGUCAUUGCUCGAAUGCAUCGACCGUGAGGCCGAAAUAGAAUUUCAUGAUUCAGAGGCGUUCAAGAACGUAUACAGAGCGUGUGCAUAAUAUUUUAUUUAUGAACUUCGACAGAUAAUAAUAUAUAUUUUUAUUUUUUCACCUCAGUAGUAUAAAUAAAAAUUUAUACCACUGAGAUGGCAAACAAGCAUACGGCCCACCUGAUAACAAGGUUACCAUCAGGUUACCGUAGCCUAUGAACACCUGCAAUACUAGAGGUAUUACGCGUGCAUUGCCGACCCUGAAGAAACCUUUUUACCUCCCUUUUGAAGAACUCCAUGCUGUAGUCUCUUGGGAAAACCUCGGCAGGGAGCUCAUUCCAUAACCUGAGUGUUCGUGGGAGGAAACAUCUCUGAAACCGUUUCUGUAGGAUAUAAGGAUGGACUCCCUGUCGAUAGCGAGCCGUACGACGGUAGAAAUUAUUUAUUUUACAAUUAAUCUAAUAAUUACAUAAAUAUAUUGCAAAUUGCAUUAAAUUUCAUACGAUUAAUUGAUAACAACCAUAUAUAUAUAUUACAAAUUAUACGAGUAUAUACUCCUAUUUAAAUAUAUAAAUAUAUUUAAAUAGUCUCCAAGUAUUUAAACUCAAUUAUCGGAGACAUUUAAACAAAUAGUAACACUGAGUACCGUGUUCACAAUCACAACGUGCCGUUGCAUAGCUACGUGUGAUUGC